UUCCAGAUAGAGUCACAUGGAAGUGUUUUCUGGAUUCGAACCAUGAUCCUCCUGAUCUCUGCCUCCCGAGUAGCUUGGAUACAUGCAUGAGUCACUCGUUCCUGGGUAAUCACUUUGAUCAGUAUGAAGAAGGACAUUUGGAAAUUGAACAAGCUUCUCUUGACAAGCCUAUAGAAUCGCAGUUGGCCCAUAUUAGCUAAGCAGCCAUGAUCUGGUUUGUAUUGCACGGUCUGCCUUUUUUUUUAAUUUCUUCUCAAGGGUUUCUUUCUCCCCCACCUCCCUUUCUUACUUCUGUCCUUCUGGUCCAGUGAACACUGCAUAUAGUACUUUCUGUCUUAAUGUGCUGGCAUGUUGCUAGACUUAGGCAUGGCAGUAAUUGAUGACGCAUGUGAUAAUGCUGCAGAGGGAGAAUUCAUAUCUGAUAUGGUGCUGAAAGUCCAGUCUAGUGUUUUGACAUAAGAAUGAAAUGCCAGUCCCACAUUACUAAGUUAAAAUUCACUGAAAUUUGUGCCUUGUUCUGUAUCAUUUUGGGGAUUAUUACCAGGCAGAAUUUCAUACUGAAAUCCAUAGGCAAAUCAGUAUCUUGUACUUAAAAUAAUUUAAUUUUUCUGUUUUAAUUUGACUAGGUUUCUUUGGGUGAAAGUUUAAGAAUAAACCAUCAGCAGCAGGUCCCCAGUGCCAUAUUUUAUAAGGUGCAUGACUUGUUAAUAUUCCUGUAGAAGUUAUAAUUCUGUUGAAUACUCUUGACUUGCCAGUAACAGGAAAUUUAAUUAGCCUGAAUUUGCAGUCUACUAUUCAUUAUUGUUAAUUUAACAGACUUUUUUUUUUAAAGCACUAAAUGAUAUUUAACAUUUCUGAAGCCUUCUUUUAGGGCCACAUUGUUUAAGAGUUUUUUAAAAUUCAUUCCUGUGGCCUGCUAAUUUACCCCAUUGUCCACAGGUUCUAGCAUGUGUCGUUGGAAGAGUACUAUGAGAAGACAGUCUGAUUGAAUAAUCAUUGUCGAGUAAUCUCAAUGAGUAGGAGAAUUUACAUGUGCCUUAUUUACUAAGUUAUGUUAUCUUUUCCAUUUAAAAUAGCCAGUAGUAUAGUACUGACUAGAUAUUUAACUUUUUUAUAAUGUAUACCCAGAGAUGUAUAUUAUAUUAAUAAAUAUAUAUAUAUAUAUACUACUAUUGAAAAUUUACUUCUGAAGCGCAUAUGCAUUAUUUGUCAUAUGGUAGCUUACGUAGUAGUAAUAGCAGGAGCUUUAUAACCUACAAUGUGUUAAAUAGAAGUGGGACUCAAAAGAUAAAGAGGGUUCUUAUUUCUGCUACCUAAUCAUUUGGGAAUAAAACUUAAAGUUUGAAAAGAAAUACCUACAUGAUUGGCAUCAAGGUGGUGUUCCCUCUUCUCCCAAAGAAAAAAGUCCCCUAUCAUCUAAGGAAUGUCCACCAAGUAAUAAGCAUAUACCAAGUUAUAUGGCUGGCUGGCUGUAUUGAGCUGUUUUGUUCUUAAGGGGUGUGUUGCUUCUAACACACAGAGAGAGUCUCUGCUGAAUUAAAAUCUUUCUCUGCAGCAAUAUCUAUUGAGAGGUGCUGACUGUUUUGCUACAGCAUGCAACUCAAAAGUGGCUGGAAAUAAGCAGCUUUGGGAGUCUACAGAUCAUUGCAGGAGCUAAAGGUCUAGUCAUUAUUUUUUUAAACAAAGGUAAUCUGCAGCAGCUGAUAACCAUGGAAGUCUCUGCACAGGUUUGUGCCAAGAAUAUGCCUGUGUGAAGGGUUAUUGUGAGUAUAGGUUUAAGGUCUUCCUGUUUUGUAAUAGGGUAAAUUUAAUGCAAACCAGCAAGAUGAGAAAUGAGAUUCAAAGAUACAAUAAUGCAUUAUACUUUACCGAACUUCUGAAAUCUAGAUUUGUUAGUGAGAUGAUACAGGUAUUUUAAUUUCAAUAGGCAAAUGUUGAAAACAGUCAAAAUCCUGCAUUUGUAAAGUAUUUAAUAAUACUUACUAUGAAAUUUCACUUCCUUUUCUUUAUUUCAACCAACCAAAUAUCCUUCAAUGAAAUUUCUGAUCAGAACUAAAACUUUCUAGGAAAAUUAUGAAGGAAUUGCUAGAUAAAUUGAUUAUUUGAAUUAAAAUGAAAAUGUACAGUAUUAACAUUUUAUUUUUCUUGAACUUGAAUUUUUAAAGUCAUAGUUGGGCUGUUGGGAUGGCUCAAGUGGUAGAGUGCCUGCCUAGUAAGUGCAAGGCUGUGAGUUCAAACCCCAGUACCAUCAAAAAAAAAAAAAAAAGUUGUUGUUUUAUGAGAUUUUAAAGUCCCAGCCAUUAUAACUAUGACUUUCAUAUACUUAGAGUAUUUGGAAAACAAAACUAUGUAAAGAUAUAGCCCAAUGUGGGAUUCCAUCAUAGUUACCAGAAUUGGUUGGUGUGAUUUAGGAUAUGUAAUCCUUUAUGACUUCUGUCAUAGCUUAAAAAUGAGAAGUCAGGUGGGAGUAUGAUGUUCACUUAUACGAAAAGCAAAAUGCCUGCAUCAUAGACUUAAAAUAUGCUCUCAUGUUGCAUCUGGAAGUGCAACUACCCAUCAGCCAUUAGUUGGUCUUUGCUUUACCUGACUGAUUAAAAUCCUGCCUUAAUCAUUGUCAGUUUGAUUUAGUAGGUUUUUCAAAAUUAGUGUAAGUUUUCAAACUCUAGUUGCUGAUGUCUAGUUUGCUUAUGUAGGGAUUUAGAAGUAUAUGCAUAAUUGGAUUUUUGUCAUGUUGCAUAUCUGUUUAGAUCUGUGGACUCCACUAGUUCCAAACUGUAACUAUAUAAAGACUGAUGAUUUGACAUUUAGCAGUGACCUUAUGUGAACUGCACAAUAAAUAAUGUGCUUCUUGGAGCUGAAUGGUGUAGCAUUACUAUAUGGCUUUUCUCUCUAGUCUUCAUUGUGUCAUCUGUAGUGAGCUAUAGAUUUCUUUUUUUUUGUUUUGGAAACUUUUACAACUUGUUUGCAUGGGUUCACCUGGUAGCAUUUGGUUCUUGCUUAUAGAGUCUUUAAUACACAAUCAGCAAAGCUUACAAUCCACUCAAGAGACUUAUUAUUUUUGUCACUGUUGAAAAUGGACUAAAUUGUAUAAAUUGGAUGUGGCUGUCAAUUUUUAAUUUAAAAAGGUUGAUAUUUUUUCAGUAUGUUGGCAAUUGUGUACAAUACACAUUUCUUGAUUUCAAAGAUUUUCCCAUUUAAAAAUUUUGUCUCUCACAUAAUAGAGAAGAGCAAAGGUUGGAAAUACAACAUCUUUAAUUAUACAUUUAAGUUUAGAGAUAGGAAAAAAAAAGGUCAAUAGGAGUAAUUGGUUAAAAAAAAAACUUUUGUAUUUUCCUUUUUUAACCACAAGUAGGAGAGCUUCAUUUUCAAACAAGGAACGUGCCACACAGCCACCAUUUUGAAACUCAAGCACAGAGUCUUAACAUAUGGGGUGGUUUGUUGGAACCCUGUGAAUGAUGUAGAAAACCAUUUUUCUUGUGUGUGUGUUACUCCCCCUUGGGCAAAAUUCAUUUGCUUUACUCUAUAGUUUAAAUUUAGAUUUUCUUUGCAAUUCUUACAUAUAUGUUUAAAUUAUAAACAACCUACCACAAUCACACACUGUGUUAAUUGUAAGCUAGAACUGUUUAAAGAGAAAAAAAAGUUAUUUACUUUUGGUUUUAUGAGAGUAUAAUUCAAAACCUCUGUUUGUUUAUUUAUUGGGACUAGAGUUUGAACUCAGAGCUUUGUGCUUGCAAAACAGUUGCUCUACCACUUGAGCCACACCUCCUGUCCAUUUUGCU
This is a non-coding RNA of Castor canadensis (American beaver), 3779 nucleotides long. NCBI's taxonomy places the organism in Eukaryota, Metazoa, Chordata, Mammalia, Rodentia, Castoridae. The record is from RefSeq and is a predicted model, not a curated record.